GGCAACAUAGCUCAGUUUGGUUAGAGCGUAGGAAUCAUAACCCUAAGGUGGACAGUUCGAAUCUGUCUGUUGCCA
This 75-nucleotide transfer RNA is filed under the name Caudoviricetes sp. RNAcentral describes it as "tRNA-Met". It matches the Rfam family "tRNA". Rfam says of the family: Transfer RNA (tRNA) molecules are approximately 80 nucleotides in length. Their secondary structure includes four short double-helical elements and three loops (D, anti-codon, and T loops). Lineage: Duplodnaviria; Heunggongvirae; Uroviricota; Caudoviricetes. The record is from RNAcentral.